CAGCAGCCACGGGAAUACGUAGGUGGCAAGCGUUGUCCGGAAUUAUUGGGCGUAAAGGGCUCGCGGGCGGUUUCUUAAGUCUGAUGUGAAAGCCCCCGGCUCAACCGGGGAGGGUCAUAGGAAACUGGGAAACUUGAGUGCAGACGAGGAGAGAGGAAUUCCACGUGUAGCGGUGAAACGCGUAGAGAUGUGGAGGAACACCAGUGGCGAAGGCGACUCUCUGGUCUGUAACUGACGCUGAGGAGCGAAAGCGUGGGGAGCGAACAGGAUUAGAGACCCGCGUAGUCCCUGUCUCUUAUAC
Molecule: ribosomal RNA, 301 nt
Filed under: uncultured bacterium
Lineage: Bacteria
Description: partial 16S ribosomal RNA
Rfam family: Bacterial small subunit ribosomal RNA
Source: RNAcentral